GAGUUUCGAUGUUGUCAAUCCACAUUUUGAUAUUGUUAUGUAUUCUCUUUGUGUAAACGAAACGUCUCCCCUAAAUAAUUCAUCCUCUUUACUUCAUCACCCCGUAAAGAAGUUGAUAGCACAAUCUGUUAUUUAAUGAUAGCAAAGAAGUUGUAGGUUCAGCUGUAGGUUCAUCUCUAUCGUUUCUGUUUUCCAUUAACAUAUCCUUCUCUGAUUCAGAGUGGGCAUGGGACACCCAUGACAGGGUUGCUACACGAGAUGCUUGGAUCUACCAAAACAAAGAGAUUCAAAAGCUUGGAAGGUGCUUUCACAAUAUCUACGGACAGAGGAAAAUUUUGCUUUCUCAAACGAAAGCACUUGCAAACCAAUAAUGGUUUGAAGCAACUUAUUAUAAAUACUGACAUCUGAUGCAUUCUCUUCUGUUGUUUAGUACAGACUAUUACAUCAGAUGAUAAGAGUAAAAACAGCUCAUGUGAGAACUGAUACAGAGAGAAAUGUCUCACUAAUGCAUCUAUGGAGGCUCUCCUUCUCCACAUCUUAACCUUGGCGACUGGUAACAUUUAUCAGCUCCUGCUAAUAUAUUUGUAUUGGAGUAUGUUACUAUCAAUCUUCUUCCCAAGAAUGUCUCUUAAGAUUAUUUAGGUUUAUGAAUGCUUUUCCAUAUUUAGAGUGAAAGCUACAAGCACACAAUAUGAAUUUUUUUAAAGAUGACACGUAUUAGAUGACAUACAUUUAGAUGACUAUUAAACUCCAUUAUAGUUUUACAACACAUUGUAACAGUUUUAGUGUCA
Brassica rapa (field mustard) is the source of this 791-nucleotide long non-coding RNA. RefSeq lists it as uncharacterized. The record is from RefSeq and is a predicted model, not a curated record. NCBI's taxonomy places the organism in Eukaryota, Viridiplantae, Streptophyta, Magnoliopsida, Brassicales, Brassicaceae.